Molecule: ribosomal RNA, 159 nt
Filed under: Peniophorella praetermissa
Lineage: Eukaryota; Fungi; Basidiomycota; Agaricomycetes; Hymenochaetales
Description: 5.8S ribosomal RNA
Rfam family: 5.8S ribosomal RNA
About the family: 5.8S ribosomal RNA (5.8S rRNA) is a component of the large subunit of the eukaryotic ribosome. It is transcribed by RNA polymerase I as part of the 45S precursor that also contains 18S and 28S rRNA.
Source: RNAcentral
CAACUUUCAACAACGGAUCUCUUGGCUCUCGCAUCGAUGAAGAACGCAGCGAAAUGCGAUAAGUAAUGUGAAUUGCAGAAUUCAGUGAAUCAUCGAAUCUUUGAACGCACCUUGCGCUCUUGGGCCAUUCCUAAGAGCAUGCCUGUUUGAGUGUCGUGA